Molecule: long non-coding RNA, 1169 nt
Organism: Zalophus californianus (California sea lion)
Lineage: Eukaryota; Metazoa; Chordata; Mammalia; Carnivora; Otariidae
Exons: 3
Source: RefSeq, a predicted model, not a curated record
UUGGAGUCUUUGUGCUAAAUAAGAUCCUUGCUGGUAGUUACUGGCAGUGAGGGAGGCAUCUUCGUGCAAGCAUCAGCUCCUUCGGGUCAUCAGAGUCAGUUGGGGCUGGGGCCGAGUCAGCCACAGAUCGUCUGCGGUCGGUCCGGGGCUUCCCUCCUCUGUAGGUGGAUGGAAGGGCUUCGCUCGCUCUGGUCACUCCAAAGGCCUAGCGUUGGCCCAGUGACAGACGGCACCCGGAACUGACCUGGCAGCCCGACCUCCUCCUCCUCGGUCCAGGCUUGAUUUGGGGGUUAAAGGUGAUACUUUUUGAGAACGGUAGUAAAACAUUAAUGACUCUUGGGUGACCUUGGACUGUGCUUUGGAUUCGACAUCUAGAAAUGUGAUGUAUUUCUUUGUUCGUUGUCUUCCCACUGGAGUCGAAGCUCUGUGAGAGCAGGACCUUGGCCCGUUUGUUCAUUGCUGCCUUCCCAGGGCUUGGAGCAGAGCAGGUACUCAGUGCGUGUUUGUCAAAUGACCAGAUGGAUCCCAUCACCUGUCCUACACUUGUUGACCAUUGCCUUUGAGGCACUUGCCAUCUCCCCGGGCAGACGUGGGUGUUACGCAGCAGUCGUGAAAUAAUGAGGCAACAGCGUUAAGACCAACAGAGCCAGGAGCUAACACAUGGGCAAGGCGGGCACGCCUCGGCAGGAAAUCAUCGGGCUCGGAGGCCCUCCUGGGCCAAGGGCUGAGGUCAGGCCGGCGCCUCUGUGUCUGCUGGGCAAAGAUCAGGUUGGUGCAGGGUAGGGGCUGGGUGAGCAUGAACGAGCAGAAAAUACAUUCUGGGUUGCCCUAAGGACAUGGAGAAAACUGCUAGUUUUUAAAAAUUGAACUCAAUUCUGUCUUAGUUGACUUCAAGAGCAUGGUCAAAGUCAUUUCUAGCAGAUCAUACCCUAUCUGGUUUGGGGCUGUUCCUUAGUGCCUGGAAACAUCUAUACCAUGCUGGGGCUCUUACAGUUCCAUUGUUUGUGGUCCUGAGACUUGGCUUUCCUAAACACAGCCCAGAAGUUCUCCUCUUCCCAACGCUGGGCAGGCUGCUGAGAAGUUGCCCAUCUGCGGAAGCACAUAGACAACGUGAGACAAACUUAUCAGUCAUCACAUUUAAAAAAAAAAAAUGUCUCUCAAGACGCCUG